CCCGCCCGUCAAUCACGCCUCCUCUCUCCCUUUCCUUCCCUGUGCACGCCUCCCGUCCGGCCGUACCCUCCCCCACCCGAUCCAUCCCAGCCGCCUCGGUACCUCGCGCCGCCUGGGUCGAACCUCGCCGACGCCCCCGAAUCGCCGGACUUGGCGCUGGCUGAGCCGCGCGGGUUCCUGCCCCGGGUGCAGAGCGGCGCCGUGCGCGGCGUAGGCGUGGGGAGGUGCAUGCGCUGUGGAGUAACCUGACCCGGCGGGUGGCGCCGGUCGCCGGGCCGCCUGGUUCCGCUCCGCAUGAUUUGCACACACACGCGACACGCUCAUCUCCGUGGUGGAUCUCCGCCACCGCAUCCAUCCCCUGCGACGAGACGGGAGCGUCGCCGGCCGCCUUCCCAUCGAUGGCGCGCGGAGCAUCGACGCGCACUGAUCUCCAGCGUCGGUGGGCCGCCCUCCUCUCCCCAGCCCCAGCCCCAGCCCACCCUCUCUCUCUCUCUCUCUCUCUCUCUCUCUCUCUCUCUCUCUCUCUCUCUCUCUCUCUCUCUCCCUCUCCCUCUCUCUCUCUGCUGUGUUCUUGUACCCGGAGCUCUGGUGCCUGCAGCACACUCCAUCUCCAGCAGAACCUGUCCAUCCCCGGCACUUCCUGCACAAGGUACAAACAAGAUUCGCCGCAUCACGGACAUCAAGAACGCCAUGACCUCCCCACCCGCUCAUCUCUAAUUUUAUUCCUGCCGGAUGUGAGAGGUCAGUGCAGUCCACGAUAUUCAGUUUCGACAUUGAAAUAUCUGCUACUUUAUCGAAAUAAGAAUAGUAUAAAGAUACAUGACUCUGCUGGAAGUUGUGAUAAAAAUGAAAGUGACAUGCUUGAAUCAAUAUAUUUGAGGUAAACUUAUAUACAAGAGUUUCUCAAGGAUACUGAAAGAAAAUGUUAUUUCCUGAUCACUGUUUUGUGGUGUCCAGUAAUGAAAACUCUAAAACAGACAGGUUAUGUUCAUUAUCCAAUUCCUUGCUUCAGUUGUUGUGGUGACUGGAUUUUUCCUUGGAAAGUUUGUCAAAAGAAAUAUAUAUCCCUCAGGGGUCGGGGAUCCCUGUUGGUGAGCUUGCCCUUUACACUGCCUUGGGAGGAGUUCAUCCAUCAGUUCAUCCAUCUCACUGAAAAGGCCUCAGAUCCAGAGCAACCAUGGGGAGGGCGGGCUGUUGCAGGGUGGAGCGUGAGCACCAGCAGGGUGGAGCAGCAGGGUGCAGCAGCGGCCGGUGGCGGGAGCAGGUUCAGCGGCGGUGGGUCAGCAGGCUGCCGGCGGCGGGAGCAACAGCAGCAAGGGCCAGGGCGGCGGGCGGCGGCGACUGGCUUCGAAGCCACGGCGGAUGGGGAGGCGAGGGCAAACAAGUCAUUUCCCAUGGCUUGCUGGAUUAAAGAAAAUUAAAAAUUUGGGAAAUGCUAACGGAAGUCACCGGAAUGGUAUAUUUGCGAACUGAGUGGUCUUUCGAUGGUAUUAAUGUGUACUCCCUCUGUCUUUUUUCGAUGGUAUUAAUGUGUACUCCCUCUGUCUUUUUUAAGUAUGUUAGUGUGCGUGUCACAAAUUUGAUUUGAUUUGUAGAAAAACAUAUAAUAUUUGUAUUUUUAAAUAAAUUUAUUAAAAUAAUAUAUUAAAAGAUCUAUCUAAUGACAUUAAUUAUGUAUCAUAAAUGUUAAUAUUUUUUAAUAUAAAAUUAAUCAAAGUUAUUUUUUGAGAAGCGAAAGCGACAGUUAUUUAGAGACGGAGGGAGUAUCAAGAUGAUUCGAUGGUAGUUUUGAAACGGGGAUCUUUCAAUGUCACAGAUUUAAUUUUGCCUAACAAUUAAAUGGUAUAAAUAUAUACUAAGUGCAUCAUUAGAUUACAGACUAUAACACCUAUGUAAAAAUAAUAGAACGAUAGAUCUAUCUUAACUACUUCGCUUAUUGUAAAGUCUACAUCUACUAGGAGUAUAAUACUACGACGCGGGAUAGGGUCUUAGUAAUAAAAGUUCAACACAAAUUAAAUAGAGAAUUAAAUAUUAAAUUAGGAAGCAUCAAUUUUAUCUAAUUUUGUCUGAAAAAAGGUUCGCCGCUCCAUCUCCCGUUCGCCGCCGCUCGCUCCCGCCCUUCGCUGCCUGCUCUCUCGCUCCUGCCGCUACUGCUUCGCCUGCCGUCACGGCGCCCCAUGGCAUCUUGCUCCAGUCUGCAAUGGCCACUUUCGAGGUCCCCCAGUGGUGCAAGAUAGCUAGCGUCCUUAGCCGCCGUCGACGGAGGUUCCCCCCGAUUCCCCGGAACCAUAACGGCGCGGCGACGGAGAGGCUCCAAAUUCAUUUCCCGCGCCUCGCCUGGAGCCCUGGAUGUUCUCUGAUCACCGUCAUCGUACAGCUGGUGCAGUCUUCUCCUUGGUGAGUCAAACGGCAGCUCGGUCGUCCCGGUCUAAUUAGUUGCCUUCGCCGUGAGCAGGUAUACGAGCCACACUCCCUCCUAUGGCAUAUUUCUUUGUGUCUUGACAGUAAAUGGAGGGGAUUGAAGUAUUCGUGAUUCUACACCUUUUAUCUGUCAACAAUAUUUACUGCAAGUUUUCCUUUUCUUUUUACCCAGAUCAACUGGGGAUGGAAGAAAUGUUGCCUGCUGAAAUGUUGGAUAAGCGAGCAGAAAUUGUUGUUGAUAACUUCAUCUGAUAGGAGUCUUUUGAAUUCAAGGCCAAGAAACAAGACCAUUGGAGCGAUGCAUUUUGAUGGGCAAUGCAAAACAGAGAGGAUAGAUCGCCUCAUAUGUUCAGGCUAUACUUUUUUUUUUGAAACUGUUCAGGCUACACUUAUUAUAAUCAGAUAUGUACAUUUUCAAUUUUUCUGAUCCAGAACUUGUUCUACACCCAGCCUACAAUGCCCUGCCCCUCCCUGAACUGGGACCCCACGGCUAGCUGCCGCGUGAUCAGCCCCCAUCAACACCAUACCGUCGGUGUAGAUGUCGCUUUUCUGGUCCAUCUUUACUGUGUAUCAAUACUCUGCACAAUUUCCAUUAAUCUACUUGUUUUCAGUUCUGAUGGUUAAAUUUUCUGUUGCUCCUAUCAAUCGAUGGGUGCAUCAGUCCAAGGUGAACAAGAACAAGGAGAUACACCUAUUUUAAUGGGAAAACCCUUGCAGGAGAAAACCACAGAUGCACAAUCAGACAACCUUGCAUGGUCAAUAUAGGAGGAACCUAUUUGUCUCAGAAGAUGGGCAUUAAUUUCUCCCUGUGGGGUAAUCCCACUUUAGGCAUACGAGCCCUUCACUCCCACAGACUGUUUAGAGUUUGUUGGGAAUAGGAAGCAACUCCAAAGAAAUGGUCCCACAAUAUGUUUCCUGUGUGUGCACCAUCCCAAGUUUCCAUUACCUUGAGCAAUACAUGUGCCUUUUAUCAAGCAUUUGGCAUGUUGCAGCUAAUGCUCUUUGUUACAUGGAACAAUAUCAGUGUUCUAAUAUGUUGCUUUAAAACUUUCAAUUUGUACCCAUUGCAUCUUUUUUUUAUUGUGCUUUCUUUAUUUUUCCCAUCUUGCAAUUAUUUUUCUUUUUGUCUGAGAAUACCCAUAUUCCCCAAUGCCGUAUCUAACAGAAAUACACUGCUUGCAAUUCUUACAGAGGUGAGCUCCAAUUUCUUUCUUCUUUCCUGGGUCUACAUAAGUGACUUUAAAGGCUGCCACAUGGAAUCGACAAGGCUACUAAAACUACAAAACUUAACUGAAUGAUGGCUGUAUACGCGGUGAGAUCACUUUUUUUUUCUCGAUACGCAGGUGGUCCAAUUACAAUAGCCAGCAUGUCACCUUGGACCAGAGUGAGGGCUACCAAAACCAGGGAGAACUGUUACAAAGAAAGGAUGAACCUAGGACUUGACCACACAACACCUAAAAACCUAAACUUGCUCAACUAUCCUACCCGGGUACAGGGCAGCAAGCCCCUUAGCCCCAGCAAACCUCCAAAGCAGGGAUUCAUCCUUGAAAUCCUGGAGUGCCCGCUGCAGAUUUGGGGCCAUCCCAUCAAAGACACAUGCAUUCCUGUGUUUCCAUAUUAUCCAAGCUCCGAGAAUGCAUAGGGAGUUGAAGCCCUUCCUAUGUUGCUUCUGUAGUUUCUUCCAAGACCUUCUCCACCAAUCAGCAAAGGAGCCAAUGCUACUACCUGGCGUCAGGUGGGAUAAGUUUAGAGGCUGCAGGACACCAAACCAGAAUUGACGCGCGAAAACACAAGAGGUGAGAAUGUGCUGAACAUUUUCCUCUUCUUGGUUGCAAAGAGGGCAGCGCUCCAGAUGAGGGAGGCAUCUUUUUUGCAGCUGGUCCGCUGUCCAACAGCGAUUUCGAAUUGCCAACCAAACGAAGGUUUUGAGAUCACUUUUUGCUAACCUCUUAUUUGUUCACUGGAUUUUUUGGUCUCCGUCUAGGAGCGUAGUCAGUGUUAGCUAGCCAGAUUAAUCAAUCCUGUGGUUUUAGGUGGAUAUUCUGUUGUGGGGGUACAUAUGUUGGACUAAUUAACAAUGCAACUGAAGGUGUAUUCAAAUUAAUCUUGGCCUAUAUAGACUAUGUGGCUGCUACGGUGGAACAAUGAUGAGAACAAAUCUUCAUUCGUGUCUCAUGUGAAUCAGUUUAGACCUGGCUGUUCCUUUUGUUGUAGCAUGUGCAUAAGUUGACAUGAAGCUUACAUAGACAACAAACGGGCAGUUGGUGGCUGUAUGUGUUCCCAAUUUGUUCUAGUAGUUUGUUUCAUUGGUUGGCCUCAGUUCCAGACUCCAGUUUAUUUUCCGAGGAUAGCCUAGCUUUGGAAGCUUUCUUAUUAGCGUACAUGGUGCGCCCUCCAUCAUAGUUCCCUAACUGGAUCAUGCAUUGUGCCAUAAUCCAGAUAGUGCUAUACUAUCAUUAGUAUCAUGUUUAGCUAAACAUGAGUACUAGUAUGGGUUUGAGGGUUCCAGAUGGAUUGGUGUGCCCAUGGCGAGCAAAGCUAAGUUUUGGCUGGUCUGAAUUCUGAGAAUGAAGAGAGCACAUGAUCAAUGCUAGCCGCGGAAAAGAUUGGGAGAAGUUUCUUUGGAAUUCUGUCUUGUUUCCUGGUCAAACUCUGGCAGAACCCUUCAAUCGUGGCUACUGACUCCAUUUGUGGGGAGGGAGAGAUGCCAACUAACCCAAUACGCACUUUUUGACUUUUUCUCUCUUGUCCUGCAUUGAGAAUUAAAAAAAAAAAGAUCUGGUACUCGGCAUCGAUCAUGAGUUCAUGACUUAUUUUUUUUAAUCCUCCCCGGAUCGAGCACUAGAUCAAGAAACUAGCAGAUCACAUGUUUCGUCAGCGCUUAUGCAUGCUGACAAAGAGCAAGGCGAAGCUGAUGGUAUGUAUUCAACCACCGUGCUCGGCUUCUCCCAUGUGGCCGUAAUCGUAGCUCAUCCAUAUACAUAAUAUCUCGCCAGCAUCCAUAUGCAUCACUGGAUCGCCGGCUGAUUUAUACUUAAAAUAAUUUAACUGGAUUGUUAGCAGCUAUAUGCGUUAGUUGAUGAUCACUCUGUUCGCUGGGCUGGAGCUGGAGCUGGUGGCUGGAGUGGUGUGAGAGAAAAAUACUGUUGGCUGGCUGGUGGCUGGAAGCUAGUGCUGGAGCGAUGUGAGAGGAAAACACUGUUGGGCUGGAGGCUGCUGGAGCUGCCGAACAGAGUGGAUGAACUCUGUAUCUGCUAGCAUUGAUUGCGUCCUGUUUGACAUUGGUUUUUUUAAUUUUUGUUGAAAUUCUUGUCUAAGCUAAGCUCGUCUCGGGUACAAAUGAAUCACAUGAAACACAGAUUUUGAGCAUUAUUUAACCUAAAAAAGUUUGCUUGUAAUUUAAUAGCA
RNA transcript from Panicum virgatum (switchgrass), 5829 nucleotides. RefSeq lists it as uncharacterized. Lineage: Eukaryota; Viridiplantae; Streptophyta; Magnoliopsida; Poales; Poaceae. The transcript has 6 exons. The record is from RefSeq and is a predicted model, not a curated record.